RNAcentral lists this ribosomal RNA (497 nucleotides) under uncultured bacterium. RNAcentral's name for it is "partial 16S ribosomal RNA". It matches the Rfam family "Bacterial small subunit ribosomal RNA", at positions 28 to 507 of the family's 1533-position model. The record is from RNAcentral.
GAUGAACGCUGGCGGCGUGCCUAAUACAUGCAAGUCGAGCGAACAGAUAAGGAGCUUGCUCCUUUGACGUUAGCGGCGGACGGGUGAGUAACACGUGGGUAACCUACCUAUAAGACUGGGAUAACUUCGGGAAACCGGAGCUAAUACCGGAUAACAUUUGGAACCGCAUGGUUCUAACGUGAAAGAUGGUUUUGCUAUCACUUAUAGAUGGACCCGCGCCGUAUUAGCUAGUUGGUAAGGUAACGGCUUACCAAGGCAACGAUACGUAGCCGACCUGAGAGGGUGAUCGGCCACACUGGAACUGAGACACGGUCCAGACUCCUACGGGAGGCAGCAGUAGGGAAUCUUCCGCAAUGGGCGAAAGCCUGACGGAGCAACGCCGCGUGAGUGAUGAAGGGUUUCGGCUCGUAAAACUCUGUUAUUAGGGAAGAACAAACGUGUAAGUAACUGUGCACGUCUUGACGGUACCUAAUCAGAAAGCCACGGCUAACUACGUG